CAAGAACCCAACACAGCGUCCCCAAUCACUAGUACUCUAGUGUGGGAGCGCUUAACUGGCGCCCGAGCAGGGACCCACAUUCUUCACGGAAGUAAAGGGAAAUGGUGACGUGUCAAUAAUUCUAUAAAAAUAACUUAUUAAAAAAGCAAGUACAAAUAAAUUGUUCCAAUCCAAUAGGGCAAUUGUUGGCAAAAUUAUGAAGUACUUCUGUGAUUUGCAAAGUAAUGGGGUGAAAGUGCUUGCCAUAACAUAAUACAAUAAAUAAUAACAUAAUUUCUAGCAAGUGUUGGUGUACUUGAUAAUUCUAUAACAUAAAAGAAAUCGUGGCUAAAUGGUGGUAUUGGCAAUACCUAGGUUCAAAUCCGUGCCAAGACGACUCUUAAAACGAAAAUAAAAGAAAUUUGCAGGCAUAAUGGUGGUACGAGAUUUAUUCUCGUAUCGAGGAUCAAAUCCUUGCCGUAAGACAAAUGUCAUAAAAAAUAAAGGUCACAAUUUCCACCUGUGUUGAAUGAUGGGUUUCCGUAUAAAUUAAAAGGAACCUAGUGGUCAAAAUUAAGUUUAAAGCACUAACUAAAAGGCGGUUAUCUGGAAAUCUCUAAUCAACAAGCAAAGCAUAAAUAUGCAAAAAUAAAAACAUGAAUUGCAGAGACCUUCUAUUCGAUCGUGGAAUAACCCUUACCCUAAUAGGUCUUAGAACCAAAGAGGAAUACUUUGGGCUUCCCUUUCGGAAGAGAAUAAGUCUGGCAACAAUAUAGAAAAGAAAAAAGUAAAAUAAAUAAAUAAAUGAAACGAAAGUAAGAGAGAGACCAGAUGAUUAUGGAACCACCCUCACCUAAGUAGGUCUUACACCAAAAAGGAUCCUGCGUGCUUCCCAAGCCAUAUAAAAUAAUAAAAACUGUUUGCCGGUUCGGUAACAAAAGAUAACUAACAAAA
Molecule: long non-coding RNA, 933 nt
Organism: Drosophila mojavensis
Lineage: Eukaryota; Metazoa; Arthropoda; Insecta; Diptera; Drosophilidae
Exons: 2
Source: RefSeq, a predicted model, not a curated record